RNAcentral lists this ribosomal RNA (425 nucleotides) under uncultured bacterium. RNAcentral's name for it is "bacterial SSU rRNA". It matches the Rfam family "Bacterial small subunit ribosomal RNA", at positions 354 to 796 of the family's 1533-position model. The record is from RNAcentral.
GUGGGGAAUAUUGGACAAUGGGCGCAAGCCUGAUCCAGCCAUGCCGCGUGGAUGAUGAAGGCCCUAGGGUUGUAAAGUCCUUUUAACGGGGAAGAUAAUGACGGUACCCGUAGAAUAAGCCCCGGCUAACUUCGUGCCAGCAGCCGCGGUAAUACGAAGGGGGCUAGCGUUGCUCGGAAUUACUGGGCGUAAAGCGCACGUAGGCGGGUUCUUAAGUCGGUGGUGAAAUCCUGGAGCUCAACUCCAGAACUGCCUUCGAUACUGGGAAUCUUGAGUCCGGGAGAGGUGAGUGGAACUGCGAGUGUAGAGGUGAAAUUCGUAGAUAUUCGCAAGAACACCAGUGGCGAAGGCGGCUCACUGGCCCGGUACUGACGCUGAGGUGCGAAAGCGUGGGGAGCAAACAGGAUUAGAUACCCUUGUAGUCC